UCUCCGUAGGUGAACCUGCGGAGGGAUCAUUACCGUUUGGACGUCCCCGGCUUGCCGGCGGACAGCCCGGGGGGAAAAGACGCGUCGCGGGGUCUUCGGACCCCGGGGCGUGGCCCCGGGUCUUCCACUCUCACCCCUUGUGUUCAUGACCCUGUUGCUUCGGGGGCCACCCCGCUCGUCGGGGGCCCCCGGUGGCACAUCAAAACUCGUGUAUCUUCGCGUCCGAGUCGUAUACCAAUUAUACAAAACUUUCAACAACGGAUCUCUUGGUUCUGGCAUCGAUGAAGAACGCAGC
This 295-nucleotide unclassified non-coding RNA is filed under the name uncultured fungus. RNAcentral's name for it is "sequence contains ITS1, 5.8S rRNA gene". The stretch from base 247 to 295 matches the Rfam family "5.8S ribosomal RNA", at positions 1 to 49 of the family's 154-position model. Lineage: Eukaryota; Fungi. The record is from RNAcentral.